Molecule: ribosomal RNA, 510 nt
Filed under: uncultured bacterium
Lineage: Bacteria
Description: partial 16S ribosomal RNA
Rfam family: Bacterial small subunit ribosomal RNA
Source: RNAcentral
GACGAACGCUGGCGGCGUGCUUAACACAUGCAAGUCGAACGAAGAGCGAUGGAAGCUUGCUUCUAUCAAUCUUAGUGGCGAACGGGUGAGUAACGCGUAAUCAACCUGCCCUUCAGAGGGGGACAACAGUUGGAAACGACUGCUAAUACCGCAUACGAUCUAACCUCGGCAUCGAGGAAAGAUGAAAGGUGGCCUCUAUGUAUAAGCUAUCACUGAAGGAGGGGAUUGCGUCUGAUUAGCUAGUUGGAGGGGUAACGGCCCACCAAGGCGAUGAUCAGUAGCCGGUCUGAGAGGAUGAACGGCCACAUUGGGACUGAGACACGGCCCAGACUCCUACGGGAGGCAGCAGUGGGGAAUCCUCCGCAAUGGACGAAAGUCUGACGGAGCAACGCCGCGUGAGUGAUGACGGCCUUCGGGUUGUAAAGCUCUGUUAAUCGGGACGAAAGGCCUUCUUGCGAAUAGUGAGAAGGAUUGACGGUACCGGAAUAGAAAGCCACGGCUAACUACGUG